Molecule: transfer RNA, 76 nt
Filed under: Planctomycetota bacterium
Lineage: Bacteria; Pseudomonadati; Planctomycetota
Description: tRNA-Ala
Rfam family: tRNA
About the family: Transfer RNA (tRNA) molecules are approximately 80 nucleotides in length. Their secondary structure includes four short double-helical elements and three loops (D, anti-codon, and T loops).
Source: RNAcentral
GGGGAUGUAGCUCAGUUGGGAGAGCGCUGCGUUCGCAAUGCAGAGGUCGUGGGUUCGAAUCCCAUCAUCUCCACCA